AUGCCUUAUUUCAGUAAGGUGAUAUUCAAUUGCUGAUAUCCUUUCUUCCACUUGAUAGAUUCGGCUAUUGGUACUUGUGUAUGCUUCACGAAGUUCCUGUGCUGGUUUUUUUCAGUUCCAUCCCGUCAUUUAUGUUCCUCUAUAAACUGGUUAUUCUAGAUUGCAGUUCCUGUAACCUUUUAUCAAGGUUCUUAGCUUCCUUGCAUUUGGUUAGUACACGCCCCUUUAGCACAGAGGAGUUUGUUAUUUCCCACCUUCUGAAGCCUACUUCUGUCAAUUAGUCAAUCUCAUUCUCUGUCCAGUUUUGUGCCUUUGCUGGAGAGGAACUGUGAUCAUUUGAGGAGAAGAGGCAUUCUGGUUUUGGAAUUUUCGGCGUUUUGUGCUGUUUUAUCUUCAUCUUCAUAGAUUUAUCUACCUUUGAUCUUUGAUGCUGAUGGUCUUUGGAUGAGGUUUCUGUGUGGGUUUUUUGUUGUUGUUGUUGUUGAUGUUGAUAUUGUUGCUUUCUGUUUCUUAGUUUUUCUUCUAACAGGCCCCUCUUCUGCAGGUCUGCUGCAGUUUGCUGGAGGUCCACUCCAGACCCUACCCACCUGGGUAUCAACAGUGGAGGCUGAAGAACAGCAAAGAUUGCUGCCUGCUCCUUCCUCUGGAUGCUUCAUCUCAGAGGGGCACUGGCCUGAUGCCAGCCAGAGCUCUCCUGUAUGAGGUGUCUGUCGACCACUGUUGGGAGGUCUCUCCCAGUCAGGACGCUUGGGGGUCAGGGACCCACUUGAGGCAGUCUGUCCCAUAGCAGAGCUGGUGCGCUGUGCUGGGAGAAUCCCACUUGUCAGGAUCAGCUGCUGUCUUCAGAGCUGGCAGGCAGGAAAGUUUAAAUCCACUGAAGCUGCGCCCACAGCUGCUCCUUCCCCCAGGUGCUCUGUCCUAGGAAGAUGAGUUUUAUCCCUAAGCCCCUGACUGGGGCCUUUCCUUCAGGGAUGCCCUGUCCAGUGAGGAGGAAUCUAGAGAAGUAGUCUGGCCACAGCCACUUUGCCAUACUGGGGUGAAUUCUACCCAGUCCAGACCUCCCAGCCUCCUUAGAACUAUGUUUAUGGUUCCCACUAAGAGUAAGGCAUAAAACCACAGUGGCACAGGGAUCAAGAGGUUACUACGAAAAGUAAAGCUGUGCUCUGAAGCACCCCCUGCAGGUAGGAUCCUGUCUAGAGAGCCAGGAGGAAGGGAGGCCACUGGUCAGCAUUCUGGGCUAUUUUUGGCUGCCUCCCACCUGCCCCUCCUUUUGGCCCAAGUUCUAGUCCCACUUGCUUUGUCACCCACUGCCUGUUUAUGGCAGCUUCCUCUCUGGUCUUCAGUGUCCUCAUUGAGCCAAUGAAUACAGCAUCGCUCCUCUAAUCACAUAUAUUCAUGCAGCAGUAUAAAUGAUGUGAAAGUGCUUUGAAAAUCAUAGUAAGUGAAAGACUGGGGCACUGACUUCUUCCAAUUUUCCCAAGUCCUGCUUCAGAACCACUCUCCUAGGCCCCCAGCCCCUAACUCCAUCUUGGCCCUUUGAUCAAACUUUGCCUACUGAGGGGCAUAACUACAUGGUAUCCCCAGAAAAGGAACAAAUAUUACAGCCCCUAUUUCUUCUAUUUGCUAUUUCCCAUGAUCACUCUUACAUCUAGAAACUGGGACCCUUUCUCUGGUUGGUGGGGCCCUCUCCCUAGACCAAAAGACAGGGGCACACAGGCAUCAUAAUGGGCAUUCAGACAUGGUAUGAUGCAAGGGGUGGGCAUGUUAUAAGUGCUGGGGUAGGUCUGGGCACCUCCCAGUUCCUCAUCUGGACUCACUGGGAGAAGUGAUUCACUAGAAUUCUCAUUGGAAGAAAUGACAGGAAAGCUCCCUCCAAUAUCUCAAUUUCCACCCCACUCAGUACCUGGUUUUAUGAUUCCACACCCUCCUAAUCCAUCCUGCCCUCCUAAUACAUCCCACUCUCGUAAGCCAUCCCACUCUCGUAAGCCAUCCCACUCUCGUGCCCGCGAAUCCCUCCCUCUUCUUCCAUCUGCCAAGCCCCUUCCUCCUCUCCAGAAGUAUGUGGAUUUUUCAGUUUUCUGCCCUAACUGUUAUCCCACUGUGGCUCAUACCUGCCCUCCCCACUACCCUACCCUAAUACUCUACCUGCCCUGCCCUUCUGCUAUUCAUUACAAACCAUCCAUUUGUCAAUGCUCUAGUCCCAGAACUCUUUCUGGUAACUCCCUUAUCGAUCACCCAAGCCCUCCUUCUAGCCCUACUGGUCAACGCUUGGGUCCCAGAACUCUUCCCUGUGAUUCCCUUAUCCGUUCCCCUGUUCCUCCUCCUAGCCCUCCUUGCCAACGCUCUGGUCCCAGAACUCUUUUCUGUGACUACCCUGUCUGUCCCCCUACUCCUCCUCCCAGCCCUACUUGCAAAUGCUGUCGUCCCAGAGCUGUUUCCUGGGACUCCUCUACCUAUGCCUCUACCCCUCCUCCUUAGCCCUACUUCUUUCUAGUACCCUGUACUCUAGUCCCCAGCCCCCAGCCCUGCCAUCCCCAACCAGACCUGAUGGUUCACAAGUCUCAUCUUGGAGAUGGUUUCCCUGCUCCCGGGGCAGUUCUGGAACAGUUCAGGAUGGCCAGGACUGUGGAUUCCCAGCAGUCUGACCUGGUGGACAAAGGAAAUGCAAGACGAUGGCAAACCAGCAUUCAGCCUCAUCUGCUCCUUUCCUCCCCUGCCUUAUCAGCCAGCCUGCAUGAGCCUCUACAUCUGUUCCUGGCUUCUCCAUGGAACUCGGUCUACAGCCACAAAGCAAACCACAGGGCCAGUGACAGAGAGGGCAGAGGGGAGUGUGGAGUGGGAAGCACCUAACCUGUUCUCAAGGAGGGGAAUGAUUGGCCAAGAUGAGCUUCAAUCGUAUGUCCACUACCUCCUGGCCUGCCACUUGGCUGUGAGUCCUUUCUGGGCGGUGUCCAGGCAGGUGCUGAGAAGCACAGGCAGGAUGAGGGGACACUUGCCAGGAGACAGCAUGGGAUGCCAUUGCCUAGAGUUGGCAGAAGGACCAGGAGCAGGCAGGCAGCGAGAGGGCACCCAGAGUGCUCCUGAUCGGACCAAGCUGCAUGGAGGCCACAGUGGGACACCUGAGGGAAAAGGUGACCCAGAUGAGGUCCAUCGGAACCAGAUAUUGUGGGAACUGUCAAACCAGACCAAGAAGUAUGGAGGCCACAGAGGGACACCCCAGGGAGGUGACCCUGGAUAAGGUUCAUCAGAACUAGAUCUUGUGAGAACUACCUGACCAGACCAAGCAGCACAGAGGCCACGGUGAGACACCUGAGGGAGAAGGCGAACCCAGAUAAGGCUCAUCAGGUUCAGAUCUUGUGAGAACUGCAGAAGGCAACCACAGAUGAGGCUCAUCAGAACUAGAUCUUGUGAGAACUGCCUGAGCAGACCAAGCAGCACAGAGGCCACAGUGAGACACAUGAGGGAGAAGGUGAACCCAGAUGAGGCUCAUCAGGAACAGAUCUUGUGGGAACCAGAGAGGACAACCCCGGAUGAGGUCCAUCAGAACCAGAUCUUGUGGGAACUGCACUUCAAAGUGCUACAGACCCACAAACACUACAUGCAGCAUCACAUGAAUGCCCUCUGCAAGGGUGAGGGGCCUGGCAGGAUGGAGGAAAUACCAGAGAGGGGGGAUGCGCCCUGAAAAAAAGGAGAGCCCUGGGGACUGCGGAAGGUGGGGUGUGUGGCUCAUUAAAGGAGAAGAUACCUUCUCACACCCUAACUCCUUUUAUAGACUUUAGGAGCAAUGUCUUUGGAGGGGGCCUCACCUACAUCACAUCAGAUGCAUUAAAUAUAUUAAAAAGCAUUCACAUCUCAUGAAACAUU
This is an RNA transcript of Pan troglodytes (chimpanzee), 3864 nucleotides long. RefSeq lists it as uncharacterized. The transcript has 4 exons. The record is from RefSeq and is a predicted model, not a curated record. Lineage: Eukaryota; Metazoa; Chordata; Mammalia; Primates; Hominidae.